CUUUAACAAGUACUAUCCUGAUGAACUAUCCAACUUGACUUCUGAAAAGUAACUAUUAAAUGGAGAGAAGAAACCAUAAAAUGGAGGACAAAACACCAUUCCUGUUCACAACGAAGGAGCCACAGCCCAUGACCUCCAAUGGCAAGGCUUUGCCACCACCAAGGGGCACAGAGUGCAAUGAGCGGCGCUGAGCUGAGCAGUGAGGAGAUGGCUGCACAACUAGCGUGGAAGCUUUGACUUUAUGUGUUUGCAACCGAAUGUAAGAAAUACUUGGAGAGUUCCCAACCUGGAA
Lagopus leucura (white-tailed ptarmigan) is the source of this 292-nucleotide long non-coding RNA. RefSeq lists it as uncharacterized. The record is from RefSeq and is a predicted model, not a curated record. NCBI's taxonomy places the organism in Eukaryota, Metazoa, Chordata, Aves, Galliformes, Phasianidae. The transcript has 3 exons.